RNAcentral lists this ribosomal RNA (468 nucleotides) under uncultured bacterium. RNAcentral describes it as "partial 16S ribosomal RNA". It matches the Rfam family "Bacterial small subunit ribosomal RNA", at positions 28 to 507 of the family's 1533-position model. The record is from RNAcentral.
GACGAACGCUGGCGGCGUGCUUAACACAUGCAAGUCGAACGGAAAGGCCCUGCUUUUGUGGUGUGCUCGAUUGGCGAACGGGUGAGUAACACGUGAGUAACCUGCCCUUGACUUUGGUAUAACUUCAGGAAACUAGGGCUAAUACCGGAUAGGAUCUCCUGCUGCAUGGUGGGGGUUGGAAAGUUUCGGCGGUUGGGGAUGGACUCGCGGCUUAUCAGCUUGUUGGUGGGGUAGUGGCUUACCAAGGCUUUGACGGGUAGCCGGCGUGAGUGGGUGAACGGGCACAUUGGGACUGAGAUACGGACCAGACUGCUACAGGAGGCAGCAGUGGGGAAUAUUGCACAGUGGGCGGAAGCCUGAUGCAGAAACGCCGCGUGCGGGAUGACGGCCUUCGGGUUGUAAACCGCUUUCGCCUGUGACGAAGCGUGAGUGACGGUAAUGGGUAAAGAAGCACCGGCUAACUACGUG